CCCCUUCCUUAGACCUCGCCCCUUCGCAUAGGCCCCCGUCAUCCCGUCUACUCCCCGGGCCCUCGCCCCGCCCCUCCCGGCGCACUCACAUACAGGGUUUCACUAUGUAGCCAAGGCUAGUCUUGAAUUCGUGAGCUCAAGUGAAUCACCGGCCUUGGCCUCUCAAGUCUAGGAUUACAGAAGAGGAAACUGAGGUUCACAAUCGGGCAGUGAAAAGCCAAAAGUAAAACCUAGGCUUUCUACAACUCUGCCUGCUCCAACAAAAG
RNAcentral lists this small RNA (266 nucleotides) under Pan troglodytes (chimpanzee). RNAcentral's name for it is "processed transcript". Lineage: Eukaryota; Metazoa; Chordata; Mammalia; Primates; Hominidae. The record is from RNAcentral.